AUUGAACGCUGGCGGCAUGCCUUACACAUGCAAGUCGAACGGUAACGCGGGGCAACCUGGCGACGAGUGGCGAACGGGUGAGUAAUGCAUCGGAACGUGCCCAGUAGUGGGGGAUAGCCCGGCGAAAGCCGGAUUAAUACCGCAUACGACCUACGGGUGAAAGCGGGGGACCGCAAGGCCUCGCGCUAUUGGAGCGGCCGAUGUCAGAUUAGGUAGUUGGUGGGGUAAAGGCCUACCAAGCCUGCGAUCUGUAGCUGGUCUGAGAGGACGACCAGCCACACUGGGACUGAGACACGGCCCAGACUCCUACGGGAGGCAGCAGUGGGGAAUUUUGGACAAUGGGGGCAACCCUGAUCCAGCCAUGCCGCGUGCGGGAAGAAGGCCUUCGGGUUGUAAACCGCUUUUGUCAGGGAAGAAAUCCUCUGAGUUAAUACCUCGGGGGGAUGACGGUACCUGGAGAAUAAGCACCGGCUAACUACGUG
RNAcentral lists this ribosomal RNA (482 nucleotides) under uncultured organism. RNAcentral describes it as "bacterial SSU rRNA". It matches the Rfam family "Bacterial small subunit ribosomal RNA", at positions 29 to 507 of the family's 1533-position model. The record is from RNAcentral.